Molecule: long non-coding RNA, 449 nt
Filed under: Lepisosteus oculatus (spotted gar)
Lineage: Eukaryota; Metazoa; Chordata; Actinopteri; Semionotiformes; Lepisosteidae
Description: lncRNA (ENSLOCG00000022774.1)
Source: RNAcentral
UCUCUCUCGGCAUACCAAAAUGAACCAGCACACAGCAGCACUGUGCAGAAAGCAAGAGUCAAAAGGUGUCAUAGUGAGUCCUGCUGGAGCACUGGGGAACCCUCUAGAAUCACCAUGGCAACCAGCAGAACCUCCAACAGACCUAUCAAUCAGUUGGUUGCUGUGACGACGUGCUCUGGCUGGACACUUCUUCCACCUGCGCCUGAUUAAUCCCCACACCUGAGAGCUGGUUCUUUAAGUUCAGUCCUUACAUCUCUCUGACAUCUUAGAGUUUUUGGAUUUAUCUUUUUUCUUCUGGAUUCCUCUUGAGUUUUGUCUGAUUGGAUCUCCUGGCCACGGACUUUGCUUAUCUUUUGACGAUGCUUCUGUGACCCCUGCCUGCUCUUCGUCCAGCCCUGGGACACUGUUCUCACUCAGCUGUGAGUAGCACCAUUAUAGCAGGUUUCCAA